GCUAUGGCUGUAAAAGACCUAUGGACAAUGAGAGUGGUUUUUCAAAUGGAACAACCAACUCAUCAAUGGUGGACAAUACCAUGAAGAACCAAACGACUGAAGUGCAUAAUAUCACUAUGAACUAAGUAAAGAUUACUACCAGAAGCCCUGAGGCCCAAGUGCAAAACUGAUGACGUUCAUCACGAUCAGAAGAACUGUCAAUAAAAUUCAUUUAUAUAAAAA
Long non-coding RNA from Sphaeramia orbicularis (orbiculate cardinalfish), 222 nucleotides. RefSeq lists it as uncharacterized. The record is from RefSeq and is a predicted model, not a curated record. The transcript has 3 exons. Lineage: Eukaryota; Metazoa; Chordata; Actinopteri; Kurtiformes; Apogonidae.